AGGUGCGAUCAUACCAGCACUAAUGCAUCGGAUCCCAUCAGAACUCCGCAGUUAAGCUCGCAUGGGCGAGAGUAGUACUAGGAUGGGUGACCUCCUGGGAAGUCCUCGUGUUGCACUUC
Molecule: ribosomal RNA, 119 nt
Filed under: Phaseolus vulgaris (common bean)
Lineage: Eukaryota; Viridiplantae; Streptophyta; Magnoliopsida; Fabales; Fabaceae
Source: RNAcentral